This 2031-nucleotide long non-coding RNA is filed under the name Triticum aestivum (bread wheat). Its description in RNAcentral is "long non-coding RNA (TAES_LNC016992)". The record is from RNAcentral. Lineage: Eukaryota; Viridiplantae; Streptophyta; Magnoliopsida; Poales; Poaceae.
UGAGGAUGCCAACUAAAUAGAUACUCUUGUACAACUAGAAAUGCUGAGGAUGCCAACUAAGUAGGUACUCUUAUGUCAACUAGUUAGAAAGUAUUGUGCAACUAGAAUUGCUGAGGAUGCCAACUUAUUGCAUACUACUGUGCAAGUAUAAAGUCUAAGGGUGCCAAAGAUACUCUUGGGCAACCCUCAAAUUUUUUGGAGAUAGGACUAAAUUAUAUACUCUUGUGCAACUAGAAAGGCUGAGGAUGUCAACUAGUUGUAUACUGUUCCUUGAAACUAGAAAUGCUGAUGAUGCCAACUAAAUGGAUACUCUUGGCAACUAGAAAUCUUGAGGAUACCAAGUCUGAAAAUAGUUAUUCCGCACUUGCAUGACGAGACAACAAAUCAUCACACCAUCACCAAACCAAAAACCGAGUUUAUAAAAAUGAUGUUGAUGCUGUUGAAAAUACUAGCUACAUUGAGUUCUGCAGAAAAAGUACUAAUCACAACUGUAUGAAAAUCCAGCUUUGCAUUGCAGUUCGUGAAGCCAUAAAAACUGAAUAAAAAAGGCUGACGACGCCAACUUAUAUUAUGUUAGUUGUGCAACUACAAAAUGCAGAGGAUGUCAACUAGUUAGAUGCUAUUGUGUAACUAGAAAAUGCUCAGGAUGCCAACUAAUUAAAUACUCCUGUGCAACUAGAAAGGCUGAGGGUGCCAAAUCAUUAGAUACUCUUGGGCAACCCUCAAAAAUUUGAAGAUGGGACUAAAAAAUAGUUUUCUUGUGGCUGAGGAUGUCAAUUAGUAGGAUACUGUUUGUGCAAGUAGAAAUGCUAAGGACGCCAACUAAUUGAAUACUCGUGUGCAACUAUAAAUCUUGAGGAUGCCAAUUAAUUAGAUACUCUUGGGAAAAGAACUAUUCAGCACUUGCAUGACCAAAUCAAAAAAUUGCACAUUCACCUGAGGGUGUCAAUGCAGCUACAAAAAUACUAGGAUGUCAACCAGUUGGAUGGUAUUGUGUAACUAGAAAUACUGAGGAUGCCAAUUAUCAGGUACUCUUGUGCAACUAGAAAAGACUGAGGAUGCCAACUCAUUUAUAUACUCUUUAGGACACAUCAUCAUCCUCUCCAUCCCCGUCAUUAUCAGCGCCACGUGGUUGUCGCUUAGCCGCCCGUUUUGAAUUCCGCCAAGAGGUCCUAUUUGGAGAACCCUACAAUGAAUAAAAAAUAUUGAACUACAAAGAGGGUAAAAGAAAAGAGUAUAAAUAAAUGGCCAUAGGAUAAAAGAAAAAGAAAAUAUGAACCUCUGUUUCACUAUCAAGCACAUUUCCUCUGGUUGCACAGUAAUGUAUCCCUAGUUGCGCAGGAUCCCAAACCCCAGUGAACUAAAAUAAAAUUAGUUGCCUAGUUUGCUUACAAAUUUGGGAUAGAUUGCACAGGAAUGCUCCUCAAGUUGCAUAGAACUGACACCAAAAACUGAUAUACAGAGAACGAGAAUUAUUUGCGUAGUUCGCUUACAAAUUGGGCUACAAAGAUAUGAUAGAUUGCUAAGGAACCCCUAGUUGCAGAGAACUAACAUAAAAAAACUAAUAUUCAGAGAAUAAAAUUUAUUUUGCCUAGUUUGCUUACAAAAUUUGUCUACCAGAUGUAAUAGAUUGCAUAGGAAGGCAUCCUAGUUGCACAGGGAAGCACCCCUACUUGCACAGAACUAACAACAAAAAACUGACUUAAAAAUUUGGCUAGUGGCUAUGAUAAAUUGCACAGGAACAGGGCCCUAGUUCUAAAAAAACAGACUAACUACACAUAGCAAUUCCUCCUCUUAAAAUCAGCAAAAAUCAUGCGAAAAGCACCUGGGGCUAAUGCUCUACCUUCCCCUAGCAGAUCAACUACCAAUCCGCCACCAUAGCGAAGCUUGCACGCUGCAUCCCUGUAGUCCGACCCCAGCCACCAUGGAUCCGACCACCACGCCCUUGUACUACACAACAAGGCCGGCGGCGGAAACCCCUGCUGCUGACUUCUCCAUCCCGUCCACGCUCCUUUUCCACAUCCAUGACCA